Molecule: ribosomal RNA, 673 nt
Filed under: uncultured Vibrionaceae bacterium
Lineage: Bacteria; Pseudomonadati; Pseudomonadota; Gammaproteobacteria; Vibrionales; Vibrionaceae
Description: bacterial SSU rRNA
Rfam family: Bacterial small subunit ribosomal RNA
Source: RNAcentral
UAGAGUUUGAUCAUGGCUCAGAUUGAACGCUGGCGGCAGGCCUAACACAUGCAAGUCGAGCGGAAACGAGAAUAGCUUGCUAUUCGGCGUCGAGCGGCGGACGGGUGAGUAAUGCCUGGGAAAUUGCCCUGAUGUGGGGGAUAACCAUUGGAAACGAUGGCUGAUACCGCAUAAUAGCUUCGGCUUAAAGAGGGGGACCUUCGGGCCUCUCGCUUCAGGAUAUGCCCAGGUGGGAUUAGCUAGUUGGUGAGGUAAAGGCUCACCAAGGCGACGAUCCCUAGCUGGUCUGGGAGGAUGAUCAGCCACACUGGAACUGAGACACGGUCCAGACUCCUACGGGAGGCAGCAGUGGGGAAUAUUGCACAAUGGGCGCAAGCCUGAUGCAGCCAUGCCGCGUGUAUGAAGAAGGCCUUCGGGUUGUAAAGUACUUUCAGCAGUGAGGAAGGGUAUGUAGUUAAUAGCUGCAUACUUUGACGUUAGCUGCAGAAGAAGCACCGGCUAACUCCGUGCCAGCAGCCGCGGUAAUACGGAGGGUGCGAGCGUUAAUCGGAAUUACUGGGCGUAAAGCGCAUGCAGGUGGUUUGUUAAGUCAGAUGUGAAAGCCCGGGGCUCAACCUCGGAACCGCAUUUGAAACUGGCAGGCUAGAGUACUGUAGAGGGGGGUAGAAUUUCA